Molecule: ribosomal RNA, 496 nt
Filed under: uncultured bacterium
Lineage: Bacteria
Description: partial 16S ribosomal RNA
Rfam family: Bacterial small subunit ribosomal RNA
Source: RNAcentral
ACGAACGCUGGCGGCGUGCCUAAUACCUGCAAGUUGAGCGCUGAAGGUUGGUACUUGUACCAACUGGAUGAGCAGCGAACGGGUGAGUAACGCGUGGGGAAUCUGCCUUUGAGCGGGGGACAACAUUUGGAAACGAAUGCUAAUACCGCAUAAAAACUUUAAACACAAGUUUUAAGUUUGAAAGAUGCAAUUGCAUCACUCAAAGAUGAUCCCGCGUUGUAUUAGCUAGUUGGUGAGGUAAAGGCUCACCAAGGCGAUGAUACAUAGCCGACCUGAGAGGGUGAUCGGCCACAUUGGGACUGAGACACGGCCCAAACUCCUACGGGAGGCAGCAGUAGGGAAUCUUCGGCAAUAGACGAAAGUCUGACCGAGCAACGCCGCGUGAGUGAAGAAGGUUUUCGGAUCGUAAAACUCUGUUGGUAGAGAAGAACGUUGGUGAGAGUGGAAAGCUCAUCAAGUGACGGUAACUACCCAGAAAGGGACGGCUAACUACGUG